RNAcentral lists this non-coding RNA (147 nucleotides) under Homo sapiens (human). The record is from Rfam by way of RNAcentral. Lineage: Eukaryota; Metazoa; Chordata; Mammalia; Primates; Hominidae.
GCUGGGUGUGGUGGCUUGUGCCUGUAGUCCCAGCUAUUUGGAAGGCUGAGGCAGGAGGGUCACUUGCGCCCAGGACGUUGAGCUGCAGUGAGCCAUGAUGGCACCACUGUGCUCCAGCCUGGGCGACAGAGUGAGAUCUUGUCUCAA